UGGGGAAUUGUUCACAAUGGGCGCAAGCCUGAUGACGCAACGCCGCGUGGGGGAUGAAGGUCUUCGGAUUGUAAACCCCUGUCGAAUGGGACGAAAGACCCGGGAGCUAAUCAUCCUGGGAGUGACGGUACCGUUAAAGGAAGCCACGGCUAACUCUGUGCCAGCAGCCGCGGUAAU
RNAcentral lists this ribosomal RNA (177 nucleotides) under uncultured bacterium. Its description in RNAcentral is "partial 16S ribosomal RNA". It matches the Rfam family "Bacterial small subunit ribosomal RNA", at positions 355 to 524 of the family's 1533-position model. The record is from RNAcentral.